ACCCGCUUCUCCUUCUGGUUAAUAUCUUUCAAGUUGGGUUUCUGUUACUCCUUUCCCACCUCAUACACCACUGAUUUCCUGAGCUGGGCCCAUGAUGAGUUUGUGUGCUAAGAAGAGCCAGCGUUCAGCACCGUGGAUUCACUGCUGGCACAGAAGUACCGCGCUGAGUCCCCUGCCUGAGUGGAGUUGAUUUCCAGGCUGCAGGGGUCACAUCUCGUCCUUCCUCUUUGAGCAUGUAUCUUGGGGUCUGUGUGAUUCCACCAUCCACGGUGCCUGUGGAAGAAAGGGAGCCGCUCUGGAAACAAGGCCCCGGAGGGCGUCUCAGGGCCGCUGCUGUCGGGGAGAGGCUUAGAUCUGGAGCUCAGCACCUUAUGGGGCAGGAAUUUGCUCCCUGAAGCCACGACUCACCUGCUCCGAUGAGACAGAGGGCCACCCAAUAGAUCACCGAGCUGCCCAUAGUGGGAAGGGCGUCUCCCUCCAGCUCCAAGCCCAGACAAAUGAGGAAAGGAACUUAGCCCUGGGGCUCCCCCUUGGCUUAAUGGGCAGAAUUUGGCACACGGCUAGAAUGGACACUUGGAUAGGAUCCUGGAGAUAUUCAAGACCGUCUCCCCGGUUUGGCAGAUGAGGAGACUGAGAACGGAGCUCUGAAUCACUGGCACCGCCACCUUGUGUCUUCCUUCCCCAGACUCUGCACUUUGGCCCGAUUGUCGGCGCUGCCACAUUCCAGGCCCGAGCUUCACUCUGAUUGGCUCACGGGUUCACCUUCCUCGUCAUGGUAACGUUUGCUCACUGGAGGAGGAGCACACAGAUGCUCUUGUCACACAAGAACGGAGAGCAUGUUUAACCCCCUCGCUGCCAGGUACUGCUCCAGGCCUGCAGCAGCGGAGGAAGAGGACUACCACCGCCUGGAAACCGCCCCCCUUCCUCAGCCUACGCGUUUUAUUGCUUUAGCUCGGCACGUCAAGGGUUGAACAUUAGAGAAACGUUGAUUGUGCCCAAAUAGUUGACUAAGUCCCCUCAGGAAAGACCCCGUGGUCCCAAGUGGCUAUUACCUGUUGUAGAUGAGUUUGCUGUCAGCCCAGAAACCUUAGAAUAAGCAGGGAUGAGAAUGAUCAAGUGAAACUAACUGCUAACAACUGGAAGUUUUGCGGGAGCCCUGGGAUAGCAAGCAGAAAACAAAGACAUGCUUUGCUUUCCUUGAGGGCCAGGUGGCUCCGAGCAGCCCGCAACCCGCCUUCGCCGUUUAGUCUGAAAGCCCCCUCGGCCCACUUCUUCCUUGGAAUAAAAGCAGCCUGACUCCUACCCCGCAUUAAGGUGGUUCUUUAGGACGUUAGCCCGCCGUCUUCUCAGCGUGCUGGCUUUCUGAACAAAGUUGCUCCUCUUUGCCCCGACACCUCUCUUGACUUACUGGCCUGUGGAGCAGCGAGCGGUAAGAGCCUGACUCAUUAACAAACGUUGACAAGCCAGCCAGGAGUCUUGCUGCUCGAGGCCAGCUGGCCCCGGCUGGGAAAUCGUGCUGGGCAAGCCCCCAGCAGCUUCCAGGACCUCUUGUGCUGCAGGUCCUCCUUCAAAAGUCCUUGGAGCAGGGCCGGCCACCCCGGUGCUCAGCAGUUGGAGCAAAGACUUGCCAUUUGGGAGUCGAAGGACUGAAUGCAGAAAGGUCUGUCUCUCCAACUGAAGUCACCCUGCACCCUUUUCAACUAACCCAGGCACCUCAUCCUCCUUAAAAGCUGGAAAAAGCAAGGACCCAACCAUCCGCUGGCUGUGAAGUGGACCGGAGGGGGCCGUAUGAGGGCUUGCUGACCGCACAGUCAUCAGUUAAGCAGCUGGGGUUAAGCUGUGGCUUCGCCACACCUGUUAAAGGCAGCAUCCACAGCAGAGGGCCAAGGGGCGCCCUCUAGGGUGGAGGAAACUAACAGGCAGAGGACUCGAGAGCCUCUGAAUGAUUUAGAGUUUCUCUUCAAAAAAAAAACAAACAAAAAAAGGGCUGAGCUGAGGGAGGAUGGAGACUAGCAGAACGAAACUGCCACCACCAGGAUGAAGACAUGGUGAAGGACCUUGUAAUAAACGACCCCGCAGCCCGGCCGGGAGCUGGAGCUGUCCUGACCGGCUACUUGGCAGACGGCUCCCGACUCGAGUGUUUCGUUUUUCCCCCUCUCCAAGCAAUAAAAGCAGCUGUUUUUCAC
Molecule: long non-coding RNA, 2186 nt
Organism: Camelus dromedarius (Arabian camel)
Lineage: Eukaryota; Metazoa; Chordata; Mammalia; Artiodactyla; Camelidae
Exons: 4
Source: RefSeq, a predicted model, not a curated record